GCAGUGGUGAUUCAGUGGUCAAGUUCUCCCCUUCCGUAUGGGAGAUCUGGGUUUGAUUCCCAGCCACUACA
This 71-nucleotide transfer RNA is filed under the name Loxodonta africana (African savanna elephant). It matches the Rfam family "tRNA". From Rfam's summary of the family: Transfer RNA (tRNA) molecules are approximately 80 nucleotides in length. Their secondary structure includes four short double-helical elements and three loops (D, anti-codon, and T loops). Lineage: Eukaryota; Metazoa; Chordata; Mammalia; Proboscidea; Elephantidae. The record is from Rfam by way of RNAcentral.